Molecule: ribosomal RNA, 253 nt
Filed under: uncultured bacterium
Lineage: Bacteria
Description: partial 16S ribosomal RNA
Rfam family: Bacterial small subunit ribosomal RNA
Source: RNAcentral
UACGUAGGGGGCGAGCGUUGUCCGGAAUUAUUGGGCGUAAAGAGCUUGUAGGCGGUCUGUCGCGUCUGCUGUGAAAAUCCGGGGCUCAACCCCGGACUUGCAGUGGGUACGGGCAGACUAGAGUGUGGUAGGGGAGACUGGAAUUCCUGGUGUAGCGGUGAAAUGCGCAGAUAUCAGGAGGAACACCGGUGGCGAAGGCGGUGAUCUGGGCCGACACUGACGCUGUAGAGCGAAAGCGUGGGGAGCGAACAGG